CAGUCGCCGCGGGAAAACGGAGGGUGCAAGCGUUAAUCGGAAUUACUGGGCGUAAAGCGCACGCAGGCGGUCUGUUAAGUCAGAUGUGAAAUCCCCGGGCUUAACCUGGGAACUGCAUUUGAAACUGGCAGGCUUGAGUCUUGUAGAGGGGGGUAGAAUUCCAGGUGUAGCGGUGAAAUGCGUAGAGAUCUGGAGGAAUACCGGUGGCGAAGGCGGCCCCCUGGACAAAGACUGACGCUCAGGUGCGAAAGCGUGGGGAGCAAACAGGAUUAGAUACCCCGGUAGUCCCUGUCUCUUAUAC
RNAcentral lists this ribosomal RNA (301 nucleotides) under uncultured bacterium. RNAcentral's name for it is "partial 16S ribosomal RNA". It matches the Rfam family "Bacterial small subunit ribosomal RNA", at positions 509 to 807 of the family's 1533-position model. The record is from RNAcentral.